CUUGCCAGAGUGUUAACACUCUUUCAUGUUUUUCAUUAAUUCCAUCUAGUUUCACCAUGUCUUUGGUGAACUAAACCAUUUGUUGUUGGGGAACAAUGUAAUCCUUUUGAAACUCUCUCAUAUUGAAAUUCUUAUUUUAUUCAUAUGCUUAUUAAAUCAAUUGUUUGGGUUUUCUUCUCUGAGGUUAAUGCAUACAUCGUUUAACUCAU
Molecule: long non-coding RNA, 209 nt
Filed under: Vigna radiata
Lineage: Eukaryota; Viridiplantae; Streptophyta; Magnoliopsida; Fabales; Fabaceae
Description: long non-coding RNA (VRAD_LNC005331)
Source: RNAcentral